RNA transcript from Canis lupus familiaris (dog), 2777 nucleotides. It is a transcript of the gene named translation initiation factor IF-2-like, with no coding region annotated. The transcript is spliced from 3 exons. Lineage: Eukaryota; Metazoa; Chordata; Mammalia; Carnivora; Canidae. The record is from RefSeq and is a predicted model, not a curated record.
UUUAUCAAAUGCAUAUCAAGGAAGAGAGAGGUUGCUUCUUCAUCUCCACGAGGAAUCUCAUAUUAGACCGGGAGUAUAUGAUGCAAGAAAACAGAAGACAAUCUCAGUCCACCAAUGGUGCAAAUUCAAACCGAAGUCAAUCCUGUAUGUCUCUUUCUGAAUUUAGUAAUUCCUUCUCUAGCUCCCUUGAGUGAGAAAGGUUUGUAUCCAGAAAGCAACAAUCACAAAGAAAGAAAGCAAUAAAAAGUAAGCACAUUUCUAACCACAUGUGGCACUCAUCUUCCGUCCAGCAGCUCGCACUGUACGCCCUAAACAGACUAAGAAGAUAUGGCAUAAGGUCAGCUGACAUUUGCAGACACUGCCGUCUCAUAUGCCCCCAUGAGGAACUAAACAUUCAUGGGGUGUGACCAUGGUCGGGUUCCUAACACAGAUUCUUGCCUGAUCGUUAUGGUCUGAACCUUAGGAUUUCCUUCUCCAACAAGCCUGUAGUUCAUGAUCCCACUGAGUCCUUAUCUGUUGUGGGAAGUUUGACAAAAGUAUCAGGCUCACAAUAGCUGCAAGCACAUCUCCUGGAGCUCUCUCUCAGUGUCCCAGAGUCUCAAGACCUGUGUGGAAAUUUUCAGGCAUGGCAUCUUUCCCACUAUUUACCUAGAAGAACCCGAAGCACCCGCUGUACAGAAGGCUACGUGCAAUGAAGUGCAGGGUGUCAUUUCUACAUUUGUCCAAUCACUGUUCUCUGGGUGUCAAACAGGCAUCUAAUAUAUUAGAGUGUGACUAGGAGUAGUUGUUAUUAUAGAACAUUUCUAGCAGCCCCGUUAGAAUGUGCUUGAUCGUUUACAUUUAGCAAGAAUUUUGUUUUAGUUUCCUAACAAACUCAUUUCCCUCUUUUCUCUGUAACCAUUUUCAAAUCUAAGGUGGGGAUGGGGGAUGGGGGGGAAGGGCAUGUGGACACCAGCGCCCACCACACCUAGUGUCCCUUCCUGCAGGAGGCUCCCUGUGGGAGUGGAGGCAGGUGCGGAGGCGGGCUUGGGGGCUCCGCCGCCUCCCGUGUCCCCACGCCUGUGCCACAGCGGGGCCUCUGGGCGCUGCCUCGAGGAAGCGUGUCCCACUUCGCGCAAGGAAGUCACUCAAGCAAGGCCCACGAGGGAUUUGCUGCGCCAACGGGACGACGGAGCUCAGCCCUGGCCCCGGAGCCCUCGGACUCCAGCCCCGCCGGCCGCGCCAGGGAGCGGGGGCGCUGCCCAUUCACGGCCACGGGCCGAAGGGGCGCCCUGUCCUGCUGUCCUGCCCGGGCUGAGGCUCGGGAGGCGGGUGCGGAGGCAGGAUGCCCACCGGGCGAGCCCAGGAAACAAAGCUGCUCAGAGAGGCCGCCGCCCCGGGCCGCCUGAUGACAAGUCCCUGCCCGGCCCGACGUUCCUCCGCGGACAAGCCCAGACGGUGCCGAGACCUUCAAGCAGGUGCCGACCCGACCGUCCCAGGAGCGCUUUGCACCCCGAAGUGUACUCCAGGGAUCCACUCUUGCCUCUGCCUCUGCAUCAGCCGCGCCGACAUCUAUGCACACCAGACACCCCACCAUCCACAGCUGAAGCAGGAUUCCCUGUUAGGAUGCGGAGACCACCUGAAUCCUCUUGGUCCCGCUUUUGGUACACCGGAGCAUCAUGAAAACGAAUUACCAGAUUUAAACAUUAGGAUUCCUGUUGAAGUAUGCAGCAAAGAACAAGUAUUAUCUACAGAAACUGAAGCUCAAGGAGUUUACACUUCUACGUCCAAACAUACUUCACAUAUGCCUAGUGAGGGUAGGAAUAAAACAUCCUUAUAAUUAGAGCAUCUCAGAAUCCUAAUACAACAUAGAGAUUGCUGACCCUGGCCACCAUGGUUUGGUAGAAAAUGUCAACAUUGAUAAGAAAGGGCUCUUUUGCGGGAUAUUUGACUUAGAGAUGAUGUGAACAGUCAAACAUCACUGGAGUACUAACUGCGUCCCUUCUUCUAGCCCCAUUCCCCCUCGCCCAUCCUAUAACCACAGCCUUCACAUUGCUUUCUGUCCAGGGCCACUCCUGCAUCACUGUUCCUUCCUGUUUACAAUAGUAGAUGCCUUCUACACCUGGCCCUCUCACCCCCAAUGUCACUUCCACCAACAGAGCCCCAUUGUAGGGCUCUACUGCUUCCCACUUUCCUAUUUGGCUGCUUCUAAGAUCUAGUUCUAUUAAUGGUUGGAGAGUUGUCUGGCUUUCAGAACUUCUAUCUGGUUCCCUGUCUCCUUUCUCACUCUCCUGACCACUGUUGGCUUUGGAUCUCAGAGAUCCAUGGGCUCAGAGGAAUCUGAAUCACUGGACUCUAGCUGGGUAUAUAGCCUUGCUAUACUGUGAGUUAAACAGGAUUGUAUGGGCUAAUCUGAGAAUACAACCACAAUCAAUAGCAUCGUUUCUCUGAGAAAUAAAAUCUGACUUUGAAACAACCAACUCAUCAACUAACUUUGAGAUCACAUGUGUUCAUAAACUGCAAAAUUCCUGUGAUUAAAAUUGAAUAAAUACCCUGUCUCAGCAAAGUUGACUGCCUAUUAAAUAUUACUUGUUGAAAAAAAAAGGUCCUGCCCUAAAGGAGCUAGGUAUUAUGGGUAUAUUUUCUUUGCUAAUUUUUAUUUUAGCUGUUUUUGUGUGAAACAGGAUCCCAUGAAUCUGUUUCCGUCUUUGCUUUUGGACUCAAAAAUCAAAUCAAUUGCUUGGUGCAGAUUAGAAAACCCAAUAAAAAGCCAACUAAACUACUGAACGAGGCAAGCA